CACAAGUCAGAAACGUUUGAAAAGUUCAAAGAGUUCAAACAUGAAGUGGAGAAUCAAUUGGGCAGGAAAAUCAAGAUGCUUCGAUCCGAUCGAGGAGGAGAGUACCUAAGUCUUGAAUUCCACGACUAUCUCAAGGAAUGCAGAAUAGUUUCGCAAUUGAUGCCACCUAGGACACCGCAGUUGAAUGGUGUGGCAGAAAGGCGUAAUCGAACCCUGUUAGACAUGGUUCGUUCUAUGAUGAGUGGUGCUUCACUACCUAUCUCUUUCUGGGGGUAUGCCUUAGAGACUGCCGCCCAUAUCCUUAACCGAGUCCCUACAAAGAAGGUUGCCAAAACACCUCACGAGAUGUGGACAGGGAAAGCUCCCUCGUUGGCACAUAUUAAGGUUUAGGGUUGUGAAGUUUUCGUAAGACGAGAAACUCAUGACAAACUCGAACCUCGUAGUGAGCGGUGUAUUUUUAUCGGCUAUCUGCAGAAAUCCUUUGGAUAUCUCUUCUAUAGAUCGAGUGAUAAUGUUUNGGGACCAAGGUUGAUCCUGCUAAGCCCAACCCAAACCCAAAGGAGGCUGAGUGCCAUCAUUUCCACAAAAUAGGGCAUUGGAAGAGAAGCGGCCCGGAAUAUCUACAAGCCAUCAAGGAUGGAAAGAUCAAGCCAUCUUUCGCAGGUAUUUACACAAUUAAAUCUAAUGAUUCAUCUCAUGCUAUUUCUUGGGUUCUUGAUACAGGGUGUGGUUACCACAUUUGUUCUGAUUUGCAGGGACUAGGAAGAAAUAGGGAUGGGGAGCUUGGAAGAAUAAAUCUAAUCAUGGGGAACAAAAGAUCGUCGCUUGUUACCAAGAUUGGAGUGUAUUCUUUAGUGCUUAGUAACGGAUUGAAUUUAGAUUUAAAUAAUUGUUGCUACUCGCCAGAUAUGGAAAGAAACAUCAUUUAUUUUCAUGGUUUAUUCAGACAAGGAUUUAGAUAUUCGUUUAAUAUUGAGAAUGGUUCAAUUUAUGCUUAUCUAAAUGGUGUUUUAUAUUUUGAAGCUAUUCCUUGUAAUGGAAUUUAUGAAACUGUUAUGGUUGUAGAUAACCUAGGAAAUGAUGUGUUGUGUAUGGAUUCUUCCAAUAGUAUGGAUAAAGCAUCCUUGUGGCAUUGUCGUCUUGGACAUGUCAACAAGAAGCGCAUAGCCCAACUCCAAAAGGAUGGAGUGUUGGAGUCAUUCGACCUUAGGGAAGAUGACACGUGCGAAUCUUGUUUACUUGGAAAGAUGACUAAGUCACCCUUCACUAGCACAUGUGAAAGGGGUGAGGGUUUAUUGGACCUCAUACAUACCGAUGUAUGUGGACCCUUUAGAUCAACCACAAAGGAUGGGAACCGCUUCUAUGUGACUUUUACCGAUGACUAUAGUAGAUAUGGGUAUAUCUACUUAAUCAAGCAAAAGUCAGAAACGUUUGAAAAGUUCAAAGAGUUCAAGAAUGAAGUGGAGAAUCAAUUGGGCAGGAAAAUCAAGAUGCUUCGAUCCGAUCGAGGAGGAGAGUACCUAAGUCUUGAAUUCCACGAUUAUCUCAAGGAAUGCGGAAUAGUUUCACAAUUGACGCCUCCUAGGACACCGCAGUUGAAUGGUGUGGCAGAAAGGCGUAAUCGAACCUUAUUGGAUAUGGUUCGCUCUAUGAUGAGUCGUGCUUCACUACCUAUCUCUUUUUGGGGGUAUGCCUUAGAGACUGCCGCCCAUAUCCUUAACCGAGUCCCUACUAAGAAGGUUGCCAAAACACCUCACGAGAUGUGGACAGGGAAAGCUCCCUCGUUGGCACAUAUCAAGGUUUGGGGUUGCGAGGCUUUCGUAAGACGAGAUACUCACGACAAGCUUGAACCUCGAAGUGAGCGAUGUAUUUUCAUCGGCUACCCGCAGACAUCCUUUGGAUAUCUCUUCUAUAGACCGAAGGACAAUGUUGUCUUCGUUGCGAGGAGAGGAGUUUUCCGAGAGCGAGAACUCAUAAGCCAAGGAGACAGUGGGAGGCAAAUCGAACUUGAAGAGAUUCAAGAAUCGAUAGAUGAAGGAACCUCUACCGCUGGCACUCAACCCGAGGAGGAAACUCCGGUUGAACCGAUUGACGAGUCCUUACCUCUUAGACGUUCCGAAAGAGUUAGAGUUCAACCCCAGUUUUAUGGUUUUCAUAUUACUACCGAAGGGGACACGUAUAUUAGUGAUGGUACACUAAUAAAUCUUGAUGAACCUAAUAGCUAUAAGGAAGCCAUGGCAGGCCCGGAGUCUGCAAAAUGGAAAGAGGCAAUGGAUAGCGAGAUCCAAUCCAUGUAUGAUAACCAAGUUUGGAAUUUGGUUGAUUAUGUGCCCGGACGUAAGACCGUUGGGUGCAA
RNAcentral lists this long non-coding RNA (2356 nucleotides) under Lactuca sativa (garden lettuce). Its description in RNAcentral is "long non-coding RNA (LSAT_LNC006404)". Lineage: Eukaryota; Viridiplantae; Streptophyta; Magnoliopsida; Asterales; Asteraceae. The record is from RNAcentral.